Molecule: ribosomal RNA, 467 nt
Filed under: uncultured organism
Description: bacterial SSU rRNA
Rfam family: Bacterial small subunit ribosomal RNA
Source: RNAcentral
AAUCAACGCUGGCGGCGUGCCUCAGACAUGCAAGUCGAACGAUUAAGACUCUCUUCGGAGAGUGUAUAAAGUGGCGCACGGGUGAGUAACACGUAGGUAAUGUACCGUAGGGUGGGGAAUAACUUAGGGAAACUUAAGCUAAUACCGCAUAAUGCAGCGGCUCGACAUCGAGACAGUUGUUAAAGGAGUAAUCCGCCAUAUGAGCAGCCUGCGGCAGAUUAGCUAGUUGGUAAGGUAAUGGCUUACCAAGGCUACGAUCUGUAACCGACCUGAGAGGGUGGUCGGUCACACUGACACUGAAUAACGGGUCAGACUCCUACGGGAGGCAGCAGUCGGGAAUUUUGGGCAAUGGGCGAAAGCCUGACCCAGCAACGCCGCGUGAAGGAUGAAGUCUCUCGGGAUGUAAACUUCGUAAGAAUAGGAAGAAUAAAUGACGGUACUAUUUGUAAGGUCCGGCUAACUACGUG